GAUGAACGCUGGCGGCGUGCCUAAUACAUGCAAGUCGAGCGAACGGACGAGAAGCUUGCUUCUCUGAUGUUAGCGGCGGACGGGUGAGUAACACGUGGAUAACCUACCUAUAAGACUGGGAUAACUUCGGGAAACCGUAGCUAAUACCGGAUAAUAUUUUGAACCGCAUGGUUCAAAAGUGAAAGACGGUCUUGCUGUCACUUAUAGAUGGAUCCGCGCUGCAUUAGCUAGUUGGUAAGGUAACGGCUUACCAAGGCAACGAUGCAUAGCCGACCUGAGAGGGUGAUCGGCCACGCUGGAACUGAGACACGGUCCAGACUCCUACGGGAGGCAGCAGUAGGGAAUCUUCCGCAAUGGGCGAAAGCCUGACGGAGCAACGCCGCGUGGGUGAUCAAGGUCUUCGGAUCGUAAAACUCUGUUAUUAGGGAAGAACAUAUGUGUAAGUAACUGUGCACAUCUUGACGGUACCUAAUCAGAAAGCCACGGCUAACUACGUG
This 497-nucleotide ribosomal RNA is filed under the name uncultured bacterium. Its description in RNAcentral is "partial 16S ribosomal RNA". It matches the Rfam family "Bacterial small subunit ribosomal RNA", at positions 28 to 507 of the family's 1533-position model. The record is from RNAcentral.